CAUGCAAACACGUGUGUUUAUCUGAUUGCUGAGACAGCGCUCAGACUUGGCGUGCUGCCUCUUACAGAUCUCCGAAGAGUUAGCCUCACAGAAACCUCUGGAUGUGGAGAUGGCUGGCUGACAUCAUAGGAUACUCAGAAAUGAACUUGGGGUUAAGACAACAACAUAUUGACAUAAUCAUGAUGUCUGGAGGUGUCGCCAUUUGGAAACCAUAUUUCAACAUGCCUGGAGUCAAAGAAGCAACCAGCUGCAGACAAUGGAGUAGAAGCACGUCCUUGGUAAAAUGAUGGAGCUGUACCAACUCUGGACUGCUAACCUCUGGACUUCCUUGUAUUUAAGGAAAGAAUUAAAUCACAACAGUCAUGAUGUCCUAAAGAAUGCAAGAUGCUGUUCCAAGAUGAAGACAAAAAGGUGCACAGAAAGUCACCCCUGUAUUCCCUGCAGAGCUACGAAACAAACACUCUACCAAUUUGAAGACCAGAAAUAGGAACAGGCUGACCAGAGGUAGGAAACACACCUAAAAGGUAUCCAUCAUGACUAGCAGACGAAUGGAACAAUUGGAACAAUGUGAUGCCCGGAGCCCAUCGCUCCUGGAGACCAACAUCCCUGGAUCCUCUCCUUACUGCCCAUUUUCCCUAUGUAACUGCCUCAAGAUUCUGCAAUUCUUGAAGAUGGUUUUUGUUUUGAGACAAGACUCUACCAUCUUCCCUAUUAUGCUGGUUAACUGAAUUAAAACUUCCUUUCUCAAUCC
This 751-nucleotide long non-coding RNA is filed under the name Equus caballus (horse). Its description in RNAcentral is "lncRNA (ENSECAG00000028429.3)". Lineage: Eukaryota; Metazoa; Chordata; Mammalia; Perissodactyla; Equidae. The record is from RNAcentral.